Cygnus olor (mute swan) is the source of this 3037-nucleotide long non-coding RNA. RefSeq lists it as uncharacterized. The transcript has 4 exons. Lineage: Eukaryota; Metazoa; Chordata; Aves; Anseriformes; Anatidae. The record is from RefSeq and is a predicted model, not a curated record.
UUUAAUGAUUUCUUGGUGAACAAGCCCAUGCAGAAAUGUAUACAUAAUAGCAAAGAAAUGAUCAUUUCUAAAAUGUUACCUAUUUUCACCUUCCAGGCUGCAUUGUGUGCACUUGUUAUUCUUGAAGCUCACGGUGAUGUGACAACGAUAAAUGGAAAUGCGUGCGACUAUGUUAUUUUUGACCCUGGCUAUGCCAGUUGGAGCAUCGUUCUCAGAUCAGAUGGUACAAGGGAGACGUGCUCUUAAAGCAGGGGUCACAUGGCAGCACUGGGUACGGCCAGCGGAUUCGUGUCUUUCAUAAUGGAACACUAGGGCUCCGCGUUGUUGGAAAGGAGGAUGCAGGACAGUACACGGCUAAGGUCUGCGCUAGCUCUCAGCAUUGCCUCCACCAAAGAACAUUUCAGUUACAUGUACAUGGAUACCUUGUCAGAGGGAUUGUAGGUGACUGUGUUGCUUUUCACCUGGCCUGCCUGCAGUCAGCUGGGUACAUCCAUGCCAUCUGGAAGAAAGACAGACAGCGAGUGGCGCAGAUCAGAAGGCAAUCGGUAAACGCGUCAGAGGUCUACUGCAAGAGGGCCCGUGUGUUCCACAACGCAGCCUGAGUUCUUUGCCCCGCGGAAUGGAGAGAUCAGGGAGAGUAUGUGGCAGAAGUGUACGAUCAGGAUGGCUUGCAUUUGCAUCAGAUUUUUCACCUGGAACUGAAGAAAGUGGAAACACUUCAAGAAAUCACAGAAUUUAUCGGCGGGUCACUAUUCCUGAAUCUAACAGAGAUGAUGCCGGAACACUUCUUCCAGAUAGCCUGGAAAAAGGAAAACACGGAAGUAGCUUGGACAAAUGGUUCUUGGUUUUGGUACCAUGGAGAAUACGUUAACAGGUCUGAGAUUGUGUCUAGUCACAGCCUUAGACUAGACAGGAUUGAGACAAGUGACCGUGGCAGGUAUUCUAUAGAAGUGAAAGACAGAGAUGCAGAGUUGUGUAUGAGGCAUCACUAAUGUGAAUAUUGGUGAGUAUUGCUAAAAAAUGAAAAGCUUUCUUGGGUCCAGACUAGAGACAGAAACCUGUCUGUGUAUUGGGUUAUGUAAGAGAUUGUGUACUGGAUUAUCUACUGGAUUAUGUAGGAGACGGCCCCAAAUGCACGAGCAGUCAUGUAAUUAGCAGAGAGAUGAAGCACAGACUUCCUGGGGUAAGCCUUGCUGGGUAAAGCUGGGCGUCUUUUGCCAGUGCCUACUUCACCCAGAGUGGCAGAAGGUGUCAUUUGAGUUCUACUUUGUUACUCCACUGUAUCUAGGAAAUACUAUGAGCUGUGAUAGAAGAAUGACUUUUGGGGGGCCAGUAAAUGCUGUAUCUUUAAAUGAUUGCUGUUUAGAUGUAUCAGAAGGGCUUCUGGUGAAUUUGAGUUUAUGACUGUUCCCCAACUUGAGAACAGAUUCACCGGCACAUCUGCAAGGGUUCCUGUGGUGGGGAAAGCAGGAAACUCUCAAUGCAAUGCUGCUUAUGAUGAUGGUUUUGUUCUAAACUACACAGCUUUUGUGAUGGAGAAACUGAACCAGAGGAUACAGGGAGACUCACAAGUUUAAGUGAGGUGUGUUGCGACAGCAAAUUGCCUAGCAUGUGAAAGUAGCAUACUAGCUAUUAUUACCACUACCCCUUAUCAGUUUCUCAGUUGGUGGCAUGAGACAAAGAGCAGCUGGUGGCAGGUUGGCUGAGGUCUGUCCUAAUGCCUUGGGUUAGAGGUGACACCUUGUGAAAAGCGACUGCUUGGUUGCAGAUCACUUAAGGAAAAUCAGUAGGACAACCUCUAAUUUUAGAAGGUCAGCUUUCUGAUAUUUUACUUACAGACGUAAGAAUAAUGAUUAAGAUCACAAAAGCUAAUGGUGGAGCUUCACCCUGCUGUACUGUAAGUGUUUUGACAAAUAAAUUUUCAUUGUAGAGCAAAAGGAGAUGCUUGGAAGAAAUCCUUCUCUCUAUGUUCUCAUAAUAUCAGCAGCUGUUGUAGUUACUAUUUUCUUGGUUGCACUGAUAUGGGAUUUUCAGAAGCCUGGGCACAGGACAGGUAAGAAAUCUCCUUCAACACCUAAAUAGCCUAUUUAAAUAGCAAUUGAUGCAUAGAUCCAGUUCUCUGUAUUCAGGAGAUAUCUGACUGUGGUUUUUGGUAUGAGUUUGGUCCAGAGGAGCAGGCUGCUGUCAGUGCUGGUGACAGCACGUGGCUCUGCUGUAGGGACUGACCGCCCGAGGCCUUUCCACACUGAUGGGAGGAUUUUCAGCCCUCCUUGCCAAGGUCGCGUGCUGGGAGUGUCCAGGCUGGUCCGAUGUCUGCAGGGUGGAUUUGUGGCAAGGCCUUAGGAGGUUGCGGCAGCUGCCGUUCUCCUGUUUGUGUGGUGUAUGGUCUGCUGAGAGCUGUGUUUUUAUUUAUUUAUUUUCUCCUGUGGUGGGACAUUGACUGGUAGGAUAGGGCCUUUUAUCUCUGCUUGUGGGACCUGUGCCUUGCUGAACUCCCCUGGGUUUGGUCACUUCUGGGAGCACAGAGUUGGUGAGUGCAGGCAAGGGGAGGGACCUGUGUUUCCUCCUGAGCUGGUGAGCCGGGGCUGAAACCAAGGCAACCUUCCCAAGUGCCUGGCAGUGUUGCACAGUAUGGAUGAAGCUGAUUGCUGCUCCAGAGCCCUGUUAGCUCUGAGGCCUGUGUGAGUUUUUACCUCUACCUGAAGAUCUUUUGGUUUCUUAGUUCUAAGUAGCUCACCCCCAAAUGUCGGAAAGAUGGGAUGGAGAAUCUCCUUUCCCUGCUGCAAUGCCUAAUGGUAGGAGAGGGUGGAAAAGGGUGGUCUUCUGACAAGAAGCUGUUAGUUAUUGCCCCGCGGUGCUUUGCAGUUGAAAUGCAACGUUGGUCCAGAACAUAGGUAAUGAAGACAUAAGGUAGUUUGUCCUGUCCGGUAAGAAGGAGUAGGUAGUUACUUGAAAGGCUUAAAAGCUGAACAGAGGGGGAGGACUUCACAGAAUCAUAACAUGGCUUGCGUUGGAAGGGACCUUAAGGAUCAUCCAG